This 89-nucleotide transfer RNA is filed under the name Bacteriophage sp. RNAcentral describes it as "tRNA-Ser". It matches the Rfam family "tRNA". From Rfam's summary of the family: Transfer RNA (tRNA) molecules are approximately 80 nucleotides in length. Their secondary structure includes four short double-helical elements and three loops (D, anti-codon, and T loops). The record is from RNAcentral.
GCGGCCUUACUCAAGUGGUUGAAGAGAACGGUCUUGAAAACCGUUAGGUCGGUAAACCCGAUGCCAGAGUUCGAAUCUCUGAGACCGCG